GAGGGUUUAGCUCAGUGGUAGAGCACAUGCUUAGCAUGCAUGAGGUCCUGGGUUCAAUCCCCAGUACCUCCU
This 72-nucleotide transfer RNA is filed under the name Camelus bactrianus (Bactrian camel). It matches the Rfam family "tRNA". Rfam says of the family: Transfer RNA (tRNA) molecules are approximately 80 nucleotides in length. Their secondary structure includes four short double-helical elements and three loops (D, anti-codon, and T loops). The record is from Rfam by way of RNAcentral. Lineage: Eukaryota; Metazoa; Chordata; Mammalia; Artiodactyla; Camelidae. RNAcentral also lists the same sequence under 2 other names.